Ctenopharyngodon idella (grass carp) is the source of this 926-nucleotide long non-coding RNA. RefSeq lists it as uncharacterized. Lineage: Eukaryota; Metazoa; Chordata; Actinopteri; Cypriniformes; Xenocyprididae. The transcript has 3 exons. The record is from RefSeq and is a predicted model, not a curated record.
CCGCCUACUUCUCUACUAUAUAAUAGGGAAAAAGCAGUAGGCGAGCGAAUAAGUAUGUCAGAAACCUCAGUAAUCAUAAAUGAGUAGUCAAGAAGUUCCCGGAUGGCCUACUGCUUCCGCCCAGAUUCUGAAGUGUUCCUCGAUCGAUACUUUUCUAUCCCAGGAGGCCACAGGAGAGGAUACGUCAUAAUUGAACAUGGAGGAGAAAAGCGGCGCGGAUGCUUUCAAAUGGACAGAUGAUCACGUGUGUUCAUCCGCUGGAGAGAGGCUGAUGAAGGAAUGAUGCCAUCAAAGGCUUUGAGUGAGGAUACUACAGAAAUUAAGCUCUGUGGUGAAGCAGGACCUACAAGACAAGGUGACUACAGCAAAAAAGGAAAACCUGAAACAAAAAUAUAAAGUAAGAUCAUUUUGUUACUUCUAAUACAGAAAUCAAAUGACACUGUGCUGUUAAGAUGACUGCUUUUGUAUUAUAUUUGUGCAUUAUUGUAGGAUGUGAAAUGUCCUCAGACUGGUGUGAGCUACGACAAAAAUUAGCGAGUAAUUGUAAAAAUAUUAAAUGAAAUAUGGCAAGAAACAGAAUGCUGACAUUAAUGAAUUGUAAAAUGUUUUAAUCUGUUUUAGUCAUGCUGAUGGAGAGCAGACACACGAAUGUUUAGAGCAGACACAGCAGCAGCCAGAUUGUCCCACACAUCUUCUCCCACUCUUGCGUCAAGGUUGUGGGGUUCAGGGGUCCAUCAUCAUCAUCUUCCUCAUCCUCUGGAUCCACGAUGUCCCCACUGAGAAGAGCAGCAGUGAGGGACAUGAUGGAUGAAGGUGUUCAUCAGAAUAAAGCUGCAGAACUGGCACAGCUGUGUGAGAUGGCAGUAGGAUUGUAAAUACGUGAUUGUUAGAUCAAUAAAUUUGAAUAAAGCUUUGUUUUAUGUGUU